AUUGAACGCUGGCGGCAGGCCUAACACAUGCAAGUCGAGCGGCAGCGCGGGGGCAACCCUGGCGGCGAGCGGCGAACGGGUGAGUAAUACAUGGGAAUCUGCCCUGUAGUGGGGGAUAACUCUGGGAAACUGGAGGUAAUACCGCAUACGUCCUACGGGAGAAAGCGGGGGAUCUUCGGACCUCGCGCUACAGGAGGAGCCCAUGUCCGAUUAGCUAGUUGGUGAGGUAAAGGCUCACCAAGGCGACGAUCGGUAACUGGUCUGAGAGGAUGGUCAGUCACACUGGAACUGAGACACGGUCCAGACUCCUACGGGAGGCAGCAGUGGGGAAUAUUGGACAAUGGGGGAAACCCUGAUCCAGCCAUGCCGCGUGUGUGAAGAAGGCC
Molecule: ribosomal RNA, 386 nt
Filed under: uncultured bacterium
Lineage: Bacteria
Description: bacterial SSU rRNA
Rfam family: Bacterial small subunit ribosomal RNA
Source: RNAcentral